AAAAAAACUCACAUGCAUUUUUCUCCACUCUUCCACAGAAAGAAGCAUAGUUCUCCCAAGAAACUGAGUACCAAGUCCAGCCAGUGUCACUUUUUUUCCUCAGUGGAGUCUGAGGGACUUUUGAUCUCCAGAGAAAAGCGAUUCGGUAAAGCUGCCUCAUGGAAGACUACGCCCAGCAUCAAUAUUCUGAACAUCCUGCUGAACUGCACGACCUUUACAUGAGUGCAAGAGCCAGGCUUGGAAUGUGCAAUGACUUUGCAUCACCAAAUUGUUAUCUAACAAGACAUUGCUAUAAUGUUAUUCUGACAUACCAUAGACUAGCCCUUAAAAUGGAUGCCAGAUUUGUUUCUGCUAAUGUCUGACUAUGUCGACAAUUUGGCUGGCUUUUGCGAAUGGGCAAAAAGCCUGGGAUUUGCCUGUAAGUGCUUUGAAGCAGAAGUGCUUUUGUCUCUCUGGUCUCUGAGACCACUAUUCAAGACUUGGCAGGUGGACAAAUCCUCAGCUUAGGUCAUUUGAGUGGGAGACUUGAACAAUUAAUUUAACCCUGCUCAAAGCUAAUUUGGGGCAGAAGGAGUGGCAGAUGUCUGAUAGAUGGGCUACAGCUGAAUGUGUUACAAAGUAUUGCUGUAAUUGCAUCAGUGAAGGGUUUGCUGUGGAGGAAGUAAAAAUAAUGCAAGUUCUGUGAUUUGUCAGAAAACCCACAUUCUUCUGUGCCUGCGCUAAGUCUGUGCUAAGUUACUGUUUCCUUCAAUGGCUUGCUUUGUGUAUAACACAGCUUUCCAGCAUCCUACAGGUUCUUAAGACACUGAAGUGUUGCUUAGACUUUAACUCAUGUGUGGUCCAGCACACAAGACCCUGUUUAGCUAAAAACAUUAGUUUGAGUAAACAUCCCUUCCCAGUCUUGUCAAGGCAUGAUGCUUGCUGACAACUGACCUUCUACUGCUAAUGAGGCUUGAGAUGAAGCUGUGUAUCUCAGAUGAAUGCCAUGGGCCGCCACCUGCAUAAGUGAACUGUAGAUAAUGUUCACCAACAGCUGUUAUUGGUUGAUCCAUACAUAUAUAUGACAAGAUAUUGAAACCAGAUAGCCCUCAUAUAGUCAGUAGGGAGAAUGUGCACUCCUAAAUUAGGUGUUCUGAAUUGCCUCUUGGGCUCUGCUGAUUACGGAUGCUGUCUGGGCACCUAAGUUAGAUCCCUAAGGUUAGACAGCCUCAACAGCUCUGCCUUACAACUAGUCCAAGAUGCACCCUCUUUUAAAAAAGGAUUUCAAAAUGAAAAUAGGUCUGCAGCAUAUCUAAUAAUAUUCCAAAUUCCAUCUGUUCUGCCUUGCUUCGGCACCGCCUUUAAAAACAGAAGAAGAAAAGUAAUAUUUUGAUAAAAUAUUUAAAGAUCCAGAGCUUUGUCCAAAGCCAAGUAGUAAAGAGGCUCCACUUGAUUUUCAGAACUUAGUAUUUUGAUUUCAGCUUUGGAUUUCUAUUGAUGUAUCUCUGUUGCUUCAGUGGAUGCCCUCUGGCUUUACAGUGAUAUCAAAUAUGAUUUAAAAUCAUAACGGAAAAUUAGUCAGUCACACAAACGUUACAUGCAGAAGAAUUCCAUGAAUAUAUUGGCUUAUAGCCUUUCUGAAAGUAGAUUUGAAUGGUGUUAGUGAUUGAAAUCAAGUCCAGUGGACAGUUGGUAGUCAAGAAAUGUUAUAUUUAAUUCAAGCACAGAAUUAACCUUGAUACAAAAAGUAUACCAAGCAACUUUUACGAAAAUCAAAUCAUAUUAUCUGUUUUUUCCUUGGCUGCAUAUAAUACUCCCUUCCAGAAGCUGGGAAAUUUGCUCUUAGCCAUUAACAGUAUACCCCGCCACCUCAUCUUAUGUUGUUGUAAGUGAAGACAGCAAUUGCCUGCCUUCAAUUCUUCAUUAAAUUGGAAGAAUUAAUCCAUUCCUUACUCUCUGACCAGAACUUUUCGUAUAUAUCUUUGAGGGUUGUAAGGGUCUAAGCCCUUAAGAAAAUUAAUUAUUUAACAUAUAUCAGUGGCAAAGUAGCAUUUUGCAAAUAAAUUUCUUCCAAAUUAAUGUUGCUUAUAUUUU
This 2073-nucleotide long non-coding RNA is filed under the name Dromaius novaehollandiae (emu). RNAcentral's name for it is "lncRNA (ENSDNVG00000002561.1)". The record is from RNAcentral. Lineage: Eukaryota; Metazoa; Chordata; Aves; Casuariiformes; Dromaiidae.